This 301-nucleotide ribosomal RNA is filed under the name uncultured bacterium. RNAcentral's name for it is "partial 16S ribosomal RNA". It matches the Rfam family "Bacterial small subunit ribosomal RNA", at positions 509 to 809 of the family's 1533-position model. The record is from RNAcentral.
CAGUAGCCGCGGGAAUACAGAGGGUGCGAGCGUUAAUCGGAUUUACUGGGCGUAAAGCGUGCGUAGGCGGCUUCUUAAGUCGGAUGUGAAAUCCCUGAGCUUAACUUAGGAAUUGCAUUCGAUACUGGGAAGCUAGAGUAUGGGAGAGGAUGGUAGAAUUCCAGGUGUAGCGGUGAAAUGCGUAGAGAUCUGGAGGAAUACCGAUGGCGAAGGCAGCCAUCUGGCCUAAUACUGACGCUGAGGUACGAAAGCAUGGGGAGCAAACAGGAUUAGAUACCCCAGUAGUCCCUGUCUCUUAUAU